Molecule: long non-coding RNA, 94 nt
Organism: Etheostoma cragini (Arkansas darter)
Lineage: Eukaryota; Metazoa; Chordata; Actinopteri; Perciformes; Percidae
Exons: 4
Source: RefSeq, a predicted model, not a curated record
UUUUUUAUCACCAUGAGUUUAUCUGCAUCUCUGCUGAUUGGGUAUCACCUGUGACACAGCUAAUAAACGAGAGACACACCCCCCCAAACGGGAG